GAGUAACACGUGGAUAAUCUGCCCUGCACAGGGGGACAACAGCUAGAAAUGGCUGCUAAUACCGCAUAAGCCUACAGCCUCGCAUGAGGGAGCAGGAAAAGAAAUUCGGUGCAGGAUGAGUCCGCGUCUGAUUAGCUAGUUGGAGGGGUAAAAGCCCACCAAGGCAACGAUCAGUAGCCGGCCUGAGAGGGCGACCGGCCACAUUGGGACUGGGACACGGCCCAAACUCCUACGGGAGGCAGCAGUGGGGAAUAUUGCACAAUGGGGGAAACCCUGAUGCAGCGACGCCGCGUGAGCGAGGAAGUAUUUCGGUAUGUAAAGCUCUAUCAGCAGGGACGAAAAAAGACGGUACCUGACUAAGAAGCCCCGGCUAACUACGUGCCAGCAGCCGCGGUAAUACGUAGGGGGCAAGCGUUAUCCGGAUUUACUGGGUGUAAAGGGAGCGUAGACGGCAAGGCAAGCCAGAAGUGAAAGGGCAGGGCUCAACCCUGUACAUGCUUUUGGAACUGUGGUGCUAGAGUGCAGGAGAGGUAAGUGGAAUUCCUAGUGUAGCGGUGAAAUGCGUAGAUAUUAGGAGGAACACCAGUGGCGAAGGCGGCUUACUGGACUGUAACUGACGUUGAGGCUCGAAAGCGUGGGGAGCAAACAGGAUUAGAUACCCUGGUAGUCCACGCUGUAAACGAUGAAUACUAGGUGUUGGGGGCUGAAGCCUUCGGUGCCGCAGCAAACGCAAUAAGUAUUCCACCUGGGGAGUACGUUCGCAAGA
Molecule: ribosomal RNA, 766 nt
Filed under: uncultured bacterium
Lineage: Bacteria
Description: bacterial SSU rRNA
Rfam family: Bacterial small subunit ribosomal RNA
Source: RNAcentral